GACGAACGCUGGCGGCGUGCUUAACACAUGCAAGUCGAACGGAAAGGCCCUGCUUUUGUGGGGUGCUCGAGUGGCGAACGGGGGAGUAACACGUGAGUAACCUGCCCUUGACUUUGGGAUAACUUCAGGAAACUGGGGCUAAUACCGGAUAGGAGCUCCUGCUGCAUGGUGGGGGUUGGAAAGUUUCGGCGGUUGGGGAUGGACUCGCGGCUUAUCAGCUUGUUGGUGGGGUAGGGGCUUACCAAGGCUUUGACGGGUAGCCGGCCUGAGAGGGUGACCGGCCACAUUGGGACUGCGAUACGGCCCAGACUCCUACGGGAGGCAGCAGUGGGGAAUCUUGCACAAUGGGCGGAAGCCUGAUGAAGCAACGCCGCGUGCGGGAUGCCGGCCUUCGGGUUGUAAACCGCUUUCGCCUGUGACGAAGCGUGAGUGACGGUAAUGGGUAAAGAAGCACCGGCUAACUACGUG
This 468-nucleotide ribosomal RNA is filed under the name uncultured bacterium. RNAcentral's name for it is "partial 16S ribosomal RNA". It matches the Rfam family "Bacterial small subunit ribosomal RNA", at positions 28 to 507 of the family's 1533-position model. The record is from RNAcentral.